UUGCGCGCUUUUACGCACGGGCGUUUUGGGUAAACGAGUGCUUAAAUGCGCGCGCACGCCUGUUGUGCAAGUGUCUGUGUCUGGAGGUGUGCGUGUAUGAUGCAGAGCAGGGGUUGUGAUGAUCUUGCAGCAGGGUCAGACGUUUGGUUUUUGGGGUUGGGGACGCGCGCUCGAGCUCCGCGAAACUUCUGAGCGACUAAUUCCAAGUGGCACUUGAAUUGGAAAGCUCUGUGGACUGGAAGGAAAGGCUCGCGUUUUCACGCUGCUGUUACAAAACAAAACUCAUUCUCUUUCUCUCACGCACACAUGCACGCACGACACCAGCACUUGGAAUAUGCAAAGCCUCGGUACCUGACUGGGUGCGCCAAUUGAAGCAGGUGUCCAUUCUGUUUUGGAGGAGCCUUGUUGCCCUCGCAGGCAGCUCGGAGAAGAGACCAGAGGUGAAAUGUAAAACCUGAAUGGGGAUUGGGAGAGGGAAGCUAAUGUCUGUUCCAAGAAACAAAGAUGGAGUUGCGUCAGGCGCAGGAGUGAAAGGGAGAGAGAAAGAGAAAGAGAGAGAUGGAGACCGGAUGAGAGGAGGAAAAAUGAUAGAAAGAAAUCCAGCACGAAAAAAAGGGACCUUGUUUUAUUUUUCUGCUCCCUCGUUGACCCAUGUUUGACAGAGGCUGGACAAAAAAAGAAAAAAAAGAAAAAAGAAAAACAGUAGCACACCCUCCCUGCAAACACAGGAGGCUCAUGUGUUGCUGCUCCAUACUGGAUUCAUCUCAACUCCACACAGGACGGAACUCUGGACCAAUAACUGAAGUUUGUGGAGCUGAAGGGACACUUCACUUUGUCCCAGAUCAUGACGCAGCUGCGAUUCUU
This is a long non-coding RNA of Nematolebias whitei (Rio pearlfish), 864 nucleotides long. RefSeq lists it as uncharacterized. Lineage: Eukaryota; Metazoa; Chordata; Actinopteri; Cyprinodontiformes; Rivulidae. The transcript is spliced from 3 exons. The record is from RefSeq and is a predicted model, not a curated record.